UCAAGAAACUUCCACAAUGGGCGAAAGCCUGAUGGAGCGACGUCGCGUGGUGGACGAAGUGCUUCGGCACGUAAACAUCUUUUAUGUGGGAUGAAAUUAUUGACAGUACCACAUGAAUAAGGGGCUCCUAACUCUGUGCCAGCAGGAGCGGUAAUACAGAGGCCCCAAGCGUUAUCCGGAAUCACUGGGCGUAAAGGGUGUCGAGGCGGUUGUAUUAGUCGUUCGUAAAAUCUACGAGCUUAACUUGUAGGCGGCGAACGAAACGGUACGACUUGAGGUUUGGAGAGGUGCGUGGAACUCACGGUGUAGGGGUGAAAUCCGUUGAUAUCGUGGGGAACACCAAAGGCGAAGGCAGCGCACUGGCCAAAAUCUGACGCUCACACACGAAAGCUAGGGUAGCGAAGAGGAUUAGAUACCCCCGUAGUCCCUGAGCGGGCUGGCAAGGCGCAU
RNAcentral lists this ribosomal RNA (450 nucleotides) under uncultured bacterium. RNAcentral describes it as "bacterial SSU rRNA". It matches the Rfam family "Bacterial small subunit ribosomal RNA", at positions 355 to 825 of the family's 1533-position model. The record is from RNAcentral.